Molecule: long non-coding RNA, 2453 nt
Filed under: Manihot esculenta (cassava)
Lineage: Eukaryota; Viridiplantae; Streptophyta; Magnoliopsida; Malpighiales; Euphorbiaceae
Description: long non-coding RNA (MESC_LNC011895)
Source: RNAcentral
GGCAUUUGAAUUUCUUCUUUUGUUUGUGCAUCUUCAUCCCAUGCUUUCUGUUGGUCAACAACCAACCAAACCACAUUUCCGAACUUUCAAGUCUUUCUAAAGCAAGAAAGCAGAACCGAAAUAAUAUUCCAUUUCUAUGAAUCAAUUCUUUGAAGAACUAAGGGCUUAUAAUUGUUAACCACUCUUUAGAAUAAAUUACUUAAAACAGUGAACCACUCUUUAGAAUAAAUAAGUAAAAAAUAACUCAAAAUUUUGACACAUGCUCGUUCUAUAGCCCCCAAUCAGCUUGAUACCUUUUCGUAGCACCGCAAACUAACUAGUUUAUUCUAGAACCUCGCUAAGGAGAGAGUCCAGUUGCUUCCAAUAGCUUCAGUCAAGCUAUUAAAAUAAAAAGAAUCCAUUUCUGAUUUCAUUUUUUAGUUUGGCUUGCUUUAGUAAGACCUGCAUUCAAUGUAAAAAAUGAAGUCAGUAUGAGCCUGGUCCUUUCGAACCCGCUACGCCCUGGGAUAUCAGUAAGAUAAUCUUUCUAUCAUAUUAGUAAACUAUUAGCGUACCAAAGCUCAAGCGAGCCAGUUACAGGCCACUUCUUCCUCUAUUCGAUUUUGCUUCUUCCCAGGCCCAAGUAGCUUUGGUUCUUGUUGAAGCAUUGCCGGAAGCUUCACUCUGUGUAAAGUAAGGACUUAGCUUUUACGGGGAAAUCCCCGAAUGGGGACCUUAGGAGCUUUGUUCAGCACUGACCUUUUCUAGACCGGUCAAAUCAGAUCCCUGCAUAGAAGUUCAGUUUCAAAGCGCUACUAAUCUCCAAAUAUGUCGUUUCGUAUUUGAUUCGGUCAACUCCCGUCCCAUCUUUUCACAAAUAAACUUCUUCCCUGCUUUUUGGGAUACUAAAUGAAGCCCUUUACCGGCAGUCCUUUGUAAUGCCCGAACCCGGUCUAUUACCCAUUCUAAAUUCUACAGAUAACCCUUCCCAUGACUACUUCUUGUCGUAAGACAGUUCGCUUUCCCGAUUGGCUGGGGCUUAGACAAGACUUAAAAAUAAGCACUAAAGGCCUGGUGAAGCUCCACCUUUCUCUCCAAUUUCCCCUUCCCCCACGAUCUAUAAGCAGGAAUUAUUUAUCGACAGGAUUUGACCUGAACUCUCCUCUCUGUACCGUAUCUAUCUCUUCUAGCAAGCUAGAAAGAGAGUGAAAAGCUUUUCCUUCUCCCACGUUAAGUGUUCCCGGAUCACUAACAAGAACUAAAAAAGUCUUGUAUAAAGGAGUGUAUCCUAGCUAAAAAGAAAGAUGUAAAAUUAAGCUACUAACGCUUUCAUUAAGAUUGGCUAGCUUCCAUAAAUGAGACCAGAGAUGGGGGCGAUAGAUAUGGAGGAAUCUUAGACCUUUCCAAUGGUCGAGGGAAUCGAAAAUAAGCAUUUCACGAGCGAACUACAUGGUUCAUUCGCCCCUACUUGGGCUUGGAAAAAAACAGCUUCUUUUGCUCGCUACGGAACGGUUAUCGCAUUUUCUUCUUUUGACUUCAGUCCCUUUGCUUAUAUUGGAUGGAGGUAACGGGCCACCACACCACUCUGAUUAGCCUUGCGAUUAUUGGUCUCAUUUGGUUCUGCAACCUCACUCAACCCUAACCCUCUCCUCACACCCACAGCCCUGACCGGAAGUAGAGUACAGUUUGAGAUAGGAAUCGAUGACCAAUCGAAAGAUUGAUUAGCUCGAGUGAGAAGUCCGAAGAGAAACGCAUUCCUCCUUUCUUGAUUCAAUUCCUUAGCGCAUCACCCUUACUGUUCGCCGUAGAAAGGACGGUAUUCGUAUACUGAUUGCACCUACCAGGCAGGACGGAUUGGCUUAAGACCGGAAUGUUUGACUUAACCAUUCCUUUACUUGAUUUGGGAAAGCUUCUAGCUCUCUGUACUCCACGCUAAGGAACUCAGUCAUGAAAUAGCGGAUCUCUCUCAUAACAGAAGGAAAGCAAAAAGUACCCUAUCGACCGAAGCUACACAAAUCCUUAACUACUGAAUAACUAAUACUAAUGGAAGGGCGUUAAGCUACCGAUGAAGCAAACAAGGGCCACCAGAAGAACGGCAUCCGUUUGUUUUCCACAAGACAGUUGCGAGAGACCAAUUCUCGAUAGAGGAGAGUACGACAGAAGACAGGGCGAGACGAGCUAUUGAAAGGCUUCAAUUUACAGGUAAAGGACAAACUGAUUGCAUCUACCGGGCACAGGACUUAUUGGCUUAAGAAGGAAGCCAAGGAAAGAAGGGAUUCGCUUAAAGGACUUUCCAUAUUAGGAAAGGGAAUCUAUCUAUUUGAAGGGUCGGUGUAAUUGAGCAGAAAUCGAAGUAAUUCUAAUAGAACUGAGCCGGGAAGGACAACGGAAAGAUUCAGUCCUUUCCAUUAAUUGAUUCGUCUUUUUCCUCGAGCUGUACUUCUUUCCGCCUUACAGGUUUAUCCAGAAGUCAA